GACGAACGCUGACGGCGUGCCUAAUACAUGCAAGUAGAACGCUGAAGCUUGGUGCUUGCACCGAGCGGAUGAGUUGCGAACGGGUGAGUAACGCGUAGGUAACCUGCCUGGUAGCGGGGGAUAACUAUUGGAAACGAUAGCUAAUACCGCAUAACAGUAGAUAUCGCAUGAUAGCUACUUGAAAGGUGCAAAUGCACCACUACCAGAUGGACCUGCGUUGUAUUAGCUAGUUGGUGAGGUAACGGCUCACCAAGGCAACGAUACAUAACCGACCUGAGAGGGUGAUCGGCCACAAUGGGACUGAGACACGGCCCAGACUCCUACGGGAGGCAGCAGUAGGGAAUCUUCGGCAAUGGACGGAAGUCUGACCGAGCAACGCCGCGUGAGUGAAGAAGGUUUUCGGAUCGUAAAGCUCUGUUGUAAGAGAAGAACGAGUGUGAGAGUGGAAAGUUCACACUGUGACGGUAUCUUACCAGAAAGGGACGGCUAACUACGUG
This 497-nucleotide ribosomal RNA is filed under the name uncultured bacterium. Its description in RNAcentral is "partial 16S ribosomal RNA". It matches the Rfam family "Bacterial small subunit ribosomal RNA", at positions 28 to 507 of the family's 1533-position model. The record is from RNAcentral.